Long non-coding RNA from Symphalangus syndactylus (siamang), 7784 nucleotides. RefSeq lists it as uncharacterized. Lineage: Eukaryota; Metazoa; Chordata; Mammalia; Primates; Hylobatidae. The record is from RefSeq and is a predicted model, not a curated record.
CAGAUGGUCUGGGUCGAAUUGAAUUAAAUAAUAGCGUAGACCGGGUAAGAGAAAAUUAACAAACUAGGAAAUAGAAUUGAAGAAGUGACCUAGAAUGUGACACAGAAGACAGGGAGAUGAAAAAUAUGGAAAAAUGAUUAAGAACAUGGAGGAUAAAACAGAAGAUCUAAUAUGCAUCUAACUCGAGUCCUAAAAGGGAGAAUAGAGGUAAUAUAGGAGAGGCAAUAGGUGAAGAGAUCAUGGUUAAAGGGUUUCCAGAGAUGAUAAAAGAUGUCACUCUGUAGCUGUAGGAAUUAACCUACAUAAGUAGCAGAAUAAAGAAAAUCCAUAUCUAGACAUAUUGUAGUGAAAAUUUAGAACUCCGAAGAUAGACAAGAUCACACAAGCAGCCAGAGACUGUACAAAGGAAUAAUAAAGCAACAACGGAAGACUUUUCAACUGUGACAUAAAUCAGGAAAUAGUUGAACAAUAUCUUUAAACAGGUGAGAAGAAAAUCAUUAUUAACCUAGAAUUGUGUAUCCAGAAAAGCAAGGCAAGGAUGGAAGACAUUUUCAUGCAUACAAAUGUGGUAGUUUCCCCACAAAUAAGUCUUCAUCAGUGAAGCUUCUAAAGAAUUUAAGAACAACAGGAAAAAACAGUGAACAUUUCUGAUAUGAAAAAAGGGAUGGAGAGCAAAAAAAAAGUAAACAAGUUAAAUGUAUAUAAAAUUAAACUAAUUUCUAAUGUGUGGAAUUGAAGUAUAUAGAAUUAACUUAUAUAGGAAGGAUAUCAUUGAGAAUUAAAGGUUUCUAAGGUCCUUGAUUAUUCAGGCAGGGAGGAGGAAUUUGAAGAUAUUGAUUAAUCAUAUAAUUUCUUAAGUUGUUAAGUAUAUAUGAUAAAAUUUCACUUCAAGAGUAACCAUUAGCAGAAAAAGUAUCUAACUUCCAAACAGAAAGAGAAAAGUGGAGUAACAAUAAACAUGACCAGUUAGAAGAAAUGUGCAAUAAAGGAGAUAAAGGCUUAGAAAAAGAAUGAAUGAAUGGAAAUUGCAAAAUAAGUUAUAGUAACAAAUCUAAAUAAAUUAUUCAUUCCCCCAAAUUGGAAAUUAAGUCAACUUUCUAAUAAAAGACAGAGAUUGUCAGAUUUCAGAAAAAAAAAAUCAUUAUGUUAUGUUGUUGAUAAGAAAUACCUAAAAUAUAAGGGCACAAAAGAUUGAAAGUAGAAGUGUUUUUUAAAGAUAUUCAUAGAAAAUAGUAAUAAAAAGAGCAUUCAGCUGUAUUAAUGACAGAAAAAUACAAACUUUAAGGUCAAAUUGUUAUUAGGAAUACAAGUGGUUAAUACCAAAUGAUAAAACUAACUUCAAAACAAUGAAAAACUUGUAUACACCUCAGAAUAACUGAAGCAAAAAAAUUUGUAGAUGUAUAGAGGAAAAAUGACAAAUUCAAUAUCAUAUUGGGUAAGUAAAAAAUGCUUUUCUAUUAUUGUUUGACCUAACCGACUAAAAUUAGUAAAAAUAGAAAAUAUUUGAACAACACAAUUAGCAAGCUUGAUGUAAUGGGUGUAUUAUGGAAAACUGGGCCCCAGUAUUAAAGAGAAAUACACAUGAAACACUUGCACAAGUUGACAAUGUACUAUAUAAAACAAGUCUCAAAUAUUUAAAACAACAUAAUGCUGACCAUAUUCUCUAACCACAAGCAAUUAAGUUAGCAAUCAACAUAAAAAGAUUAAUGAAGUUCUAUAUAUUUGGAAAUUUAAAAUAUCUGAAUAAUUGGGGAAAAGAGGUGAUUCUUCCUUACAGUACAACUCCAAAUUCCAGACAAAAUAUAGAAUAAAUGAUGAAAAUAAAAAAAAUCACUAUUUGGUAAACACCACAGUAAUAAUUUUUGCAGCAAGGAUCAUCAAUGGAUGUUAACGUAAGUGAGCGAUAGUAUGAUAAAAAACAGGAUAUUUGCAUAUUUUCAAAGUAUCAACCUGCAAGAUUCUUAACAAUUACAAAGGGGAAAAGAGUAACUUUACAGUGAAGAAAACUAAGACAUCACCUCCAUUAGUCAAGAUUUUUCGGAGAAACAAAACUGAUAGAAUGUCCCUCUCUCUCUCUUUGUACAUAUAAUAUAUAAAUGCACAUGUACUUAUAUGUAUACAUACAGACAUAUAUAUAUGUAUAUGUGUGUAUAUAAAUAUUUAUACAAUAAAAAUGGAAACUAUGGAAACACGAAGACAAUGGAAUGACAUCAAGUGCUGAAGAAAAAACCUGUCAAAGUAAAAUGCAGUGUUCAGUAAAAAUAUCUUGCAUCAGACAAGAUAAAAAAGAAAAGUAAAUUACUGCUGUUUAUAAGAGAAACAAUUUAAAAGAAAGAACACAAGACAAUUGAAAUUAAAAGGACAUUAGAAGUAGAAAAGAAUAUAAACAUAAAAACAUUAACAAAAGCAAGUGUAGCUAUACCAGUGCCAGGCAAAAUUGGCUUUAAGGAGUGCAGCAUUACUAAAGAUAAUGAGAUACAUUUUAUAAUGGCAAAAAGAUCACUUCUAAAGGAAGGUAUAACAAUCCUAAAUAUGUAUGCAUCUAACACAUUUUCAAGGCAAAAGUCAGACUAAAAGAAGAAAACAGGAAUUCACAGAGAAAUAGUUGUAGGAUUCCAUAUAUUCGCCUUAGUGAAUUAUAGAACGAACAGACAACAAAAUUAGUUAAGUAGAAAAAAGAUUUAAACAACAUUAGUAAUCAACUUAACUGACACAUAAAGAUUACUAUCCACAACCAUAAUAAAGCACACAUUUUUUUUUUUUUUUUUUUUUUUUUUGAGCCAGAACCUCGCUCUGUCGCCCAGGCUGGAGUGCAGUGGCACGAUCUCGGCUCACUGCAAGCUCCGCCUCCUGGGUUCACACCAUUCUCCUGCCUCAGCCUGCCGAGUAGCUGGGACCACAGGCGCCCGCCACCAUGCCCGGAUAAUUUUUUUUUGUAUUUUUAGUAGAGACAGGGUUUCACCAUGUUAGCCAGGAUGGUCUUGAUCUCCUGACCUCGUGAUCUGCCCGCCUCGGCCUCCUAAAGUGCUGGGAUUACAGGCGUGAGCCACUGCGCCCGGCCCAAAGUACACAUUUUUAAGUACACAUGGAAUAUUCAUCAAAAUAGACAUUAUGGACCAUUAAGAAAAGUCUAAAUAAAUUUCAAAAAAGAAUGGAAAUAAUACAGGAUAUUAUUUGCCAGAGUAUUACUGUGAUGUUUGACCACAAUGGAACAGAGUUAAAAAUUAACUAAAACAUUUCUAGAAAAUGCCAAAAUAUUUGGAAAUUAAGCAACAUAUAUCUGAAUAACUCAUGCAUUAAAGAAGAAAUCACAAGGGAAAUGUUAAAAUAUUUUGAAGUGAAUGUUAAUGAAGAUUCAACAUAUCAAAACUUGUGAAAUGUAGCUAAAUCAGAAUUUAGAGAAAAAUUUAUAGCUCCAGAUUCAUGUAUUAGACAAGAAGAAUGAAAAAAAUCACAGAUCUAAACUUCUACCUCAAGAAGCUAGAACAAGUACAGCAAUUAAACCCAAUGACAGGAGGAGGAAAACACUAAUAAAUAUAAAAAUUUCAAGGAUAUGUUAAACAAACAAUUACUACAAGAAACUCCUGUCAAGUUAAACAGAGAGAGAGAGACAGGGAGAACCACUACCAGGAAAGAGAAAAAGAUAUACAAGCUAUCCGUAGACAUUAAAAAGAGACUAAGAAUAUUACAAACAACUUUAUUUCAUUUAGAUGAAAUGGACAAAUUUAUUUAAAAACACAAUUUGCCAAAAUUGACAGAAGUGGAAGUAGAAAAUCUAUUUCUGUGUUUAUUAAAGAUACUGAAUCUAUAAUUAAAAAUAUCUUCACACAGAAAAUUACAGUUUCAAAUGGCUUCAAUUAUUUCAAACACUCAAGGAAGAAAUAAUAUCAACAGUAUACAAACUCUUGUAUAAAAUAGAAAAAGAGGAAACACUUUCUAAUCCAUUAAUGACACUAGCAUAACCUUGAUAUCAAAACCUGAAAAAGUUAAUACAAGCAAGAAAAAUUACAGACCGUGCUAUCUUGUGAAAACAUUUGUAAAAAAUCCUUUAAAAAACAGUGCUCAAAUAUAAUAGAUAGAAAGGAUGAUACUACAUCAUGACUAAGUGGGUUUUUUUCCUACUAAUGCAAGUUUGUAUUGACAUUUGAAAAUCAGUGUGUUGGAGUAAAUUAAAAUGGGGACUGGGCCUGAAGAAUCUCUGAGCAGAUCUCAAAGAGCUCUCUUGCCGUGUUUUUGCCAGGUGAGUAUAAAAUGCGAAGAUGGCCCUGCAAUGUGGAAAAGUGCUCUUAGCAGAAUUUGAACAUGCUGACACCCAAUCUCAGACUUUCUCACCUUCAGAACUGUGAGAAAUAAAUGUCUGCUGUUUGGUAGCCACUCAGUCUAUGGCACUUUGUUAUAGCAGUCCAAAUGGACCAAGACAGUCCACCAAAAUACAUGUUUAGAAAUGUUCAUAACAACUAUAUUCAUAGUAGCCCUAAAAUGAAAGCAACCCAAAAGACCAUCAAUAUUAGAAUUAGUAAUUCUAGUGCAAUGCGAUACUACACAGCAAUGAAAGAAUAACUAUUGACGGGAAUAAACCUUACAAACAUAAUUUUGACUGAAAGAAAAUAUACCACAUGGGCCGGGCAUGGUGGCUCAUGCCUGUAAUCCCAGCACUUUGGGAGGCCAAGGUGGGUGGAUCACCUGAAGUCAGGAGUUCAAGACCAGCCAGGCUAACAUGGUUAAAUCCCGUUUCUACUAAAAAUGCAAAAAAUUUGCCAGGUAUGGUGAUGCGCUCCUGUAAUCCCAGCUACUUGGAAGGCUGAGGCAGGAGAAUCGCUUGAACCUGGGAGGCAGAGGUUGCAGUGAGGUGAGAUCGUGCCAUUGCAUAUACAUAUAUGAGACACAUGAUUCCAUUUGUAUGAAAUUUUGAAACAGGCAGAGCAAAUCUACAUGGAUAGAAGUCAGAAUGAUGAUUACUCUGGAUGGAAAGGUUGACUGGAAGAGACAUGAGUGAGCCUCCAGGAUAAUGGAAGCAUACCACAUUUUGACCUUGGUAGUGGUUUCUCAGGAUUAAAUUUCUGCCAAGAAGUACAUGGUGACAAAGAACAGACACUCCAGAGACAGACCAUUUGGCUUCUAACCUGCCUUUCCCACUUAAUGGAUGCAUGACCUUGGAUCAGUAAUGGAGAGAACUUCAGAAAACAAAAGAUACACAAAUCUGGUAGCAACCUAAGGAUUGUGAGAGACCACACAAAUUUCUCUUUUAGAAUGAGAACUUGGGACAUGCUAAUUAAUUGCUUCAAGAAGACAGUUAGACAUGUUUCAUGGUUGAUAUUCAGAAUCAGAUAUUUAUAAAUCCUGCACAACACGGCUGAUGAUUUACACUUGCAGAAUAAAUCCUACCUGCAGAAGUCUGGGGGCACCAUGCCAUAAACAUUGAUCCUGUCACAGAGCUCCAGUGCAAUUGUCAUUGUGAACCAGCCAGUGCUGAGCCAAGUGUUGGAUAUCUUCCUGGAAAGAACAAUAAUUAAGUCUACAAGCUGGCUAUAUAUUCAUAAGACCUUUGAGACUGAAGGAGCUGGAAUGGAGAAGAGCUGACUGAAUGGCAAAGGGUAAGAAGAGGAAGUGGCUUCCCUGAAGUUAGAGGCUGUUUUCACCUAUGGGCCGUGACAAUGCACUGGCCAUGUGUUCUACACCUAAUCCGGAUUGUUCCUGAGCCACUUUUUUCUCCACUUUUAAGGAGGGUGAAACUUCUAUCAAUCACAAUCUAUUAAAUGACCCUAUUUCUUCAAAAUAUUCACCCAAAAGGAAAGUCCUGAUCAUGAGAUCUGCAAGAUCUGCAAGUUAGAUAUUCUGCACUUUAUGUAUCAUAUGCUACUGUUUCGUUGGGUUUCAAGAAAAGCAUACAUUGAGAAAUACCAUCACACCCUAAAUGUUUUAGGUUUUAAUUUACAGAAAUAGUUUUGUCCUGAAUGGCCAUUUCUGACUUGUUUCUUUUAGCUUGGAGCAGGCUACAGUUUAAGAAUAUUAAGUCAAUAGAGUACUGGCUUCUUUAAGACUGUUUCCUGAAGGCAAGAGGCACAAAGUUUCUGGAAGCAGCAGUGUACUCUGGCAUCCUCCACAUUCAUAAGUGUGAUUCCCCUGAGUAGGGACUACGUGGAUCCUGGCAGAUGGAUGUCUGUGGAAAGAGGUCCACCAGCCACUCCACAAAGCUUUGGCUCCCUCCAUACCAGCCAGGACGACCAGGAAGAAAGACCUGGUGAGAAAAAGCUUCUCAUUGGCCAGAAUUUAGUGAAUUUAGUCAGCAGGAUAUGCCUUGCUGUGAGAUGGGUUCCUAAAGAUCCUGAGUGGCCAAAGGGUAUGACGACUUAGUAUCUAACUUAUCAGCUUAAAAUGAUUUCUCAAGGAGUCCAGAACAAUGUUUAACUAUACUAAAUAGCUAACAUUGCGGCAGUGUUUUAGGAAUACUUAUUUAGCAAUCAACCAUUGAACUAAAAAGAGAAAAGUGUUUUCUGUUGAGACGGUUUCUACUUAUUUCAAAUUUUCCAACAAGUAAAAAAUGAAACUAAAUAACUCGCCUCCUUCUUGAUUCCUUAUAAAAUGUUUUCUUGAUUAAAUAACUCAUUCAAAUGAGUGACAGUCUGUCUUAUCUGUGAGUUGCAAAGGUCAAUGCAUGACUGGGUUUUGUGGCAGCUGGCGAUGAUGAUCAGAAUCCCCAGUGUGAUCUGCUGGCUGGGCUACCCAUGGGGUCUGCUGGGCCUUCCAGGGAGGAAGGCCACAGUGCCAACAGCCAGCUCUUCCUCCUUCCUCCACCAGACCCAUGUCUCCUGCCUGGGCCAGCCCUUGACUGGUCACAAGGUUUCUAGGAUUUAAAAGCUAUCUAGCUCUUCCACACAAAGAAUUUGGGGGCACUGGACUGAAGUCUUUCUUUGAGACUAUUCUCUAAUAAUGAGCUGCUAGCCAAAGAAUGGGUUUAUUACUUUAUAUUCUUUAUUGCAUUUAUCAUAUCACUUUAUUUAAAACAAUUUUUAUGAGAUGGGGUCUUCCUGUGUUGCUCACACUGGAUUUGAACUGGGCUCAAGCCAUCCUCUUGCCUCAGCCUCUCAAGUAGCUGGGAUUAUAGGCAUGCAGCAGUAAGCCUGGCUCUCCUUUAGUUUAAAGAUAAGCAAUUGACUCAGUAACAGUUUUUGUAAGAGGGGUAAAUUACAUCAUAAACGUUUAACAGUACAGGUUUUAGAAUUAAGGAAAUGAGGCAAUUUGAUUAUUAGACCAGUCCAUCCAGCGAUUAGUAGUCACUAUUCUCUUUUCACACGUAAGGUCACUGAGUCUCUAAAAGGUUAAAUAACUUGUCCAGGUCCACACAACUAGAGAGUGACAGAGCCAGAGUUCCAACCCAGAGCUGUACUCUCUAGUGGCCCUUGAUUCUUCAUUGUCCUUUCUUCACCUAGGUUUGUCCAGCUGAUGUCUUUUCACCUCUCUUCUUUACCUUGUGUCACCCCCACCCCCCAGUUCUCCUGACUGCAGCCACAGGGGGCUUUUCUCCAACCCACUGCAUGUUCUCUCACAUCUGAUUCCCUGGACCUCCAGGGAGGUUUCUCUCUCCCACUCCUCAGGUCCUUUACUUUAUCCAAGACUUCUUGCCCUGGGUCUCAGCUUAUGUACAUCUUUUGGAGAAAGCAUUUUCCUUAUCUCCCAGACCAGUAAUUUCUAAAUCUUUCAACCUAUAGUGAAAAAUACAUUUUUACAUCAUGAUUGAGACACACAGUUUUAAUUUCAUUUUCUAAAGUGUGUAAUUCAGUGAU